Molecule: ribosomal RNA, 383 nt
Filed under: Telema tenella
Lineage: Eukaryota; Metazoa; Arthropoda; Arachnida; Araneae; Telemidae
Description: partial 16S ribosomal RNA
Source: RNAcentral
UAGCCGCAAUAUUUUGUGCCAAGGUAGCAUAAUCAUUAGUCUAAUAAUUUUAGAAUAGAAUGAAAGACUUCACAAAUUAAAUUUGUUUCCAUAAUAUCUCACCAAAUUUAUCUUAAAGUAAAAAACUUUAAUUCCUAAGAAAGACAACAAGACCCUAUAAAUUUUACUUAAAGUUUUGCUAGGAUGGCAUAAUAAAUCAACCUUACUCAUAAUUUCACUAAUCUUAUAUUUAUAAAACUUAGAACAAAUUACUAUAGGGAUAACAGCAUAAUCUUUUUUUAAAGUUCUUAUAAACAAAGAUAUUGUGACCUCGAUGUUGAAUUAAUUCUCCCGUGAAAGUAACCUUUUACAAAGAAAGUCUGUUCGACUUUUAAUUUUUUACA